This 502-nucleotide ribosomal RNA is filed under the name uncultured bacterium. RNAcentral describes it as "partial 16S ribosomal RNA". It matches the Rfam family "Bacterial small subunit ribosomal RNA", at positions 899 to 1397 of the family's 1533-position model. The record is from RNAcentral.
ACUCAAAGGAAUAGACGGGGGCCCGCACAAGCGGUGGAGUAUGUGGUUUAAUUCGACGCAACGCGAAGAACCUUACCAACCCUUGACAUGUCCAGUAUGGGCUUGAGAGAUCAGGUCCUUCAGUUCGGCUGGCUGGAACACAGGUGCUGCAUGGCUGUCGUCAGCUCGUGUCGUGAGAUGUUGGGUUAAGUCCCGCAACGAGCGCAACCCUCAUCUUUAGUUGCCCCCGGGUCAGGCCGGGCACUCUAAAGAAACCGCCGGUGACAAGCCGGAGGAAGGCGGGGAUGACGUCAAGUCCUCAUGGCCCUUACGGGUUGGGCUACACACGUACUACAAUGGUGGUGACAGAGGGCAGCGAAAGCGCGAGCUGGAGCUAAUCCUCAAAAGCCAUCUCAGUUCGGAUUGCACUCUGCAACUCGGGUGCAUGAAGUUGGAAUCGCUAGUAAUCGCAGAUCAGCACGCUGCGGUGAAUACGUUCCCGGGCCUUGCACACACCGCCCGU